GAAAUGCGAUAAGUAAUGUGAAUUGCAGAAUUCAGUGAAUCAUCGAAUCUUUGAACGCACCUUGCGCUCCAUGGUAUUCCGUGGAGCAUGCCUGUUUGAGUGUCACGUCAACCCUCAUUCAUGUGAUGUUACAGUCGCAUGAAUGGAUUUGGACCGUGUCGUAAUCGACUCGUCCCGAAAUGCAUUAGCUUGCGCUUUUAGAGUGCUGGGCACCGGUGUGAUAAUUAUCUGCGCCAACGCCUUAAGCCUCUUCAGCGGCGCUGCUUACAGCCGUCCUGACGGACAACUAUUUUAACGCUUUGGCCUCAAAUCAGGUAGGACUACCCGCUGAACUUAA
RNAcentral lists this ribosomal RNA (337 nucleotides) under uncultured fungus. RNAcentral's name for it is "eukaryotic LSU rRNA". The stretch from base 1 to 105 matches the Rfam family "5.8S ribosomal RNA", at positions 50 to 154 of the family's 154-position model. The record is from RNAcentral. Lineage: Eukaryota; Fungi.